UUAAAUUGAAGAGUUUGAUCAUGGCUCAGAUUGAACGCUGGCGGCAGGCCUAACACAUGCAAGUCGAACGGUAACAGGAAGCAGCUUGCUGCUUUGCUGACGAGUGGCGGACGGGUGAGUAAUGUCUGGGAAACUGCCUGAUGGAGGGGGAUAACUACUGGAAACGGUGGCUAAUACCGCAUAACGUCGCAAGACCAAAGAGGGGGACCUUCGGGCCUCUUGCCAUCAGAUGUGCCCAGAUGGGAUUAGCUUGUUGGUGAGGUAACGGCUCACCAAGGCGACGAUCCCUAGCUGGUCUGAGAGGAUGACCAGCCACACUGGAACUGAGACACGGUCCAGACUCCUACGGGAGGCAGCAGUGGGGAAUAUUGCACAAUGGGCGCAAGCCUGAUGCAGCCAUGCCGCGUGUAUGAAGAAGGCCUUCGGGUUGUAAAGUACUUUCAGCGGGGAGGAAGGUGUUGUGGUUAAUAACCGCAGCAAUUGACGUUACCCGCAGAAGAAGCACCGGCUAACUCCGUGCCAGCAGCCGCGGUAAUACGGAGGGUGCAAGCGUUAAUCGGAAUUACUGGGCGUAAAGCGCACGCAGGCGGUCUGUCAAGUCGGAUGUGAAAUCCCCGGGCUCAACCUGGGAACUGCAUUCGAAACUGGCAGGCUUGAGUCUUGUAGAGGGGGGUAGAAUUCCAGGUGUAGCGGUGAAAUGCGUAGAGAUCUGGAGGAAUACCGGUGGCGAAGGCGGCCCCCUGGACAAAGACUGACGCUCAGGUGCGAAAGCGUGGGGAGCAAACAGGAUUAGAUACCCUGGUAGUCCACGCCGUAAACGAUGUCUACUUGGAGGUUGUGCCCUUGAGGCGUGGCUUCCGGAGCUAACGCGUUAAGUAGACCGCCUGGGGAGUACGGCCGCAAGGUUAAAACUCAAAUGAAUUGACGGGGGCCCGCACAAGCGGUGGAGCAUGUGGUUUAAUUCGAUGCAACGCGAAGAACCUUACCUGGUCUUGACAUCCACAGAACUUUCCAGAGAUGGAUUGGUGCCUUCGGGAACUGUGAGACAGGUGCUGCAUGGCUGUCGUCAGCUCGUGUUGUGAAAUGUUGGGUUAAGUCCCGCAACGAGCGCAACCCUUAUCCUUUGUUGCCAGCGAUUAGGUCGGGAACUCAAAGGAGACUGCCAGUGAUAAACUGGAGGAAGGUGGGGAUGACGUCAAGUCAUCAUGGCCCUUACGACCAGGGCUACACACGUGCUACAAUGGCGCAUACAAAGAGAAGCGACCUCGCGAGAGCAAGCGGACCUCAUAAAGUGCGUCGUAGUCCGGAUUGGAGUCUGCAACUCGACUCCAUGAAGUCGGAAUCGCUAGUAAUCGUGGAUCAGAAUGCCACGGUGAAUACGUUCCCGGGCCUUGUACACACCGCCCGUCACACCAUGGGAGUGGGUUGCAAAAGAAGUAGGUAGCUUAACCUUCGGGAGGGCGCUUACCACUUUGUGAUUCAUGACUGGGGUGAAGUCGUAACAAGGUAACCGUAGGGGAACCUGCGGUUGGAUCACCUCCUUACCUUAAAGAA
This 1554-nucleotide ribosomal RNA is filed under the name Salmonella enterica. RNAcentral's name for it is "bacterial SSU rRNA". It matches the Rfam family "Bacterial small subunit ribosomal RNA". The record is from RNAcentral. Lineage: Bacteria; Pseudomonadati; Pseudomonadota; Gammaproteobacteria; Enterobacterales; Enterobacteriaceae. RNAcentral also lists the same sequence under 8 other names.